This 166-nucleotide small RNA is filed under the name Carlito syrichta (Philippine tarsier). RNAcentral's name for it is "TUC338 (ENSTSYG00000031860.1)". Lineage: Eukaryota; Metazoa; Chordata; Mammalia; Primates; Tarsiidae. The record is from RNAcentral.
CUGGCAGUAAUAGAAACUGAAGUCCUCUCGUUGUACCCACAGGAUGGAAACAGUUGGGCCAGUCCAGUGAGCCACUCCAUGGUGCCUUAUCAGUGACCUGGAGGGACUGUAUUCUCUUUUAGAGAGAGGAUGUUUGGUCUCCAUAGCAGCUCAGUUCUGGUCCUCU